UACGUAGGUGGCAAGCGUUGUCCGGAUUUAUUGGGUUUAAAGGGUGCGUAGGCGGCCUUGUAAGUCAGUGCUGAAAUAUCCCGGCUUAACCGGGAGGGUGGCAUUGAUACUGCAGGGCUUGAGUAAAGUUGAGGUCGGCGGAAUUGACGGUGUAGCGGUGAAAUGCUUAGAUAUCGUCAAGAACACCGAUAGUGAAGACAGCUAACUAAGCUUUAACUGACGCUGAGGCACGAAAGUGUGGGGAUCAAACAGG
Molecule: ribosomal RNA, 253 nt
Filed under: uncultured bacterium
Lineage: Bacteria
Description: partial 16S ribosomal RNA
Rfam family: Bacterial small subunit ribosomal RNA
Source: RNAcentral